CCGCCCCUCCUGCAGCAGCUUAGUCUCGUCGACGAAGCAGGCGAGGCGCAAGUCAACUCAAACACGCCUACUAUUUACAACCACAAAAUGCGAGGGGUCCAAAGCCCACUAUCGCGAGAGUAAACUGCGUCGACCUAAGAAGCGUUUUUCUUCUGGUGGGUGCGCUAUGAACCAAGUAUGUUCAUAAAUGUAAGUAUGUUGUAGCGUGACCUUUUUACAGUUCUGUCUAACCACUAAGAAGAAGGUGAUGUGUUUUCAUGAUAUUUGUUAUUCAGAUAGACAUAACAUUUGAAUGAAAUCAUGUUUUUAAUUUAUUUAUUAGAAUAUUUUUAAGAUCUACUAGAGGUGUUUUCUGGAGCUGUUGCUCAUUUUUCAGGCUUAGACUGCAGUUGAUAUAUUUUUUUCAUACAGAGAUUCAUUAAUAUGAUAUUUAUUUAAGAGCAGGCUAUUAUUGCACAUUUGAUUUGAUCAGUUGAUUUACUUUAGAUUCUCACUACCAUGUAGUUGAAGAACUUGUGUCUCUUUUGCAUUUCUAUAGAUUUCCUCACUUUUUGUUAGAUCUGCAUUUUAGCUCCUUAUAUAUUCUUUAUUUUUAAACAUCUGAACUUAUUUUCUAGUUGGAAUACUGAACAGCCUCCAUCAAACUAAUACAUCAUCUUGAUUCCUGUGCCAUGUACCUGUAACUAUAAAGUCAUGCUAAACAAAUUCCUUCUUUAAAAGGAUUUCACUAAAGAGUGAAUAGAGAAUAGUGAAUAAAUAGUGAAUUAGAGAAUCUUCCUCUUUAUCUAUUUCAAAAGCAUCACAGGUGAGCUGCUGAUGGAGAAAGACCAAGACUUAGAGGAGUUGAUGUGGUUUUAGUGAUCUGGUCUGUUUGCAG
RNAcentral lists this long non-coding RNA (877 nucleotides) under Oryzias javanicus (javanese ricefish). RNAcentral's name for it is "lncRNA (ENSOJAG00000022011.1)". Lineage: Eukaryota; Metazoa; Chordata; Actinopteri; Beloniformes; Adrianichthyidae. The record is from RNAcentral.